AAUCAACGCUGGUGGCGUGCCUAACACAUGCAAGUCGAACGCGAAAGCCCCUUCGGGGGUAAGUAGAGUGGCGUCCGGGUGAGUAACACGUAGGUAAUCUACCUUCGGGUGGGGAAGUAACCAGUCGAAAGAUUGGCUAAUACCGCAUAAUGCAGCGGCACCUAAUGGUGAUUAGUUGUUAAAGCGGGGAUCGUAAGACCUCGCGCCUAAAGAGGAGCCUGCGGCAGAUUAGCUAGUUGGUGAGGUAAUGGCUCACCAAGGCUUCGAUCUGUAGCUGGUCUGAGAGGACGAUCAGCCACACUGGGACUGAGACACGGCCCAGACUCCUACGGGAGGCAGCAGUGGGGAAUCUUGCGCAAUGGGACGGAAGCCUGACGCAGCAACGCCGCGUGAGGGAAGACGGCCU
This 406-nucleotide ribosomal RNA is filed under the name uncultured bacterium. RNAcentral describes it as "bacterial SSU rRNA". It matches the Rfam family "Bacterial small subunit ribosomal RNA", at positions 32 to 417 of the family's 1533-position model. The record is from RNAcentral.